Molecule: ribosomal RNA, 472 nt
Filed under: uncultured bacterium
Lineage: Bacteria
Description: bacterial SSU rRNA
Rfam family: Bacterial small subunit ribosomal RNA
Source: RNAcentral
CAGGCCUAACACAUGCAAGUCGAGGGGGUCAGCAAUGGCCACCGGCGCACGGGUGCGUAACGCGUAUGCAACCUGCCCACAGCUCUGGGAUAGCCUUUCGAAAGAGAGAUUAAUACCGGAUGGACUGACAGGGUGACAUCACCUAAUCAGUAAAGAUUUAUUGGCUGUGGAUGGGCAUGCGUCUGAUUAGCUAGUUGGCGGGGUAACGGCCCACCAAGGCGACGAUCAGUAGGGGUUCUGAGAGGAUGGUCCCCCACACUGGCACUGAGAUACGGGCCAGACUCCUACGGGAGGCAGCAGUAGGGAAUAUUGGGCAAUGGUGGAAACACUGACCCAGCCAUGCCGCGUGCAGGAAGAAAGUCCUCUGGAUUGUAAACUGCUUUAGACGGGGAAGAAUAAGACUCUUGCGAGGCCUGAUGACGGUACCCGUAGAAUAAGCACCGGCUAACUACGUGCCAGCAGCCGCGGUAAU